AAGCGAAACUCAAAAAGUAAGUACUCAGUUCGGAUUGAAGGACUGAAAUUACGCCUUCAUGAAGCCGGAAUUGCUAGUAAUGGCAGGUCAGCAUACUGCCGUGAAUACGUUCCCGGGCCUUGUACACACCGCCCGUCACACCAUGAGAGUUGGAGAUACCCGAAGCCUGUGAGCUAACAAACGAGGCAGCAGUCGAAGGUAGAAUCAAUGAUUGGGGUGAAGUCGUAACAAGGUAUC
Molecule: ribosomal RNA, 237 nt
Filed under: uncultured bacterium
Lineage: Bacteria
Description: partial 16S ribosomal RNA
Rfam family: Bacterial small subunit ribosomal RNA
Source: RNAcentral